UAUCAACGUAAAAUAAUAUUCGUAUGUAAGUAACGCCUUUAAUUGUGAGCGCGUGUGGGGGGCUAUUACCUUGUCUCUCUGUCCUUUUUGGCUCUUCCGUUUUUCUCAAUAUACCUCGGCCGGACAACGACCAAAAAGCUUUCAACACCUUCGUCACUUUCACAGCUCUCCAUCUUCUUCAGAUUCUACUCUCUGUCUCUGUUUCUGGGCUUGUGAGUUUUGUUCAAGAUGAACGACCUGCUUACGGAUUCGUUUGUCAGUGAGGCAAGUGCUCAGCCUUCCGGAACAAAUGAUAUCGAAAUGGGAAGGCCAAUUCCCCGCAGCGUGUCUGAUGGCGGAAUGGAUAGUUUCAACAAGCAGAUCCAAGAGGUUGAGAAACAGGUGGAAAAGCUCUCCGGGCUUCUUAAAAAACUUAAGGAUGCGAAUGAGGAGUCGAAGGCUGUUACAAAAGCAUCUGCCAUGAAAGCAAUCAAAAAGCGGAUGGAAAAAGAUAUUGAUGAAGUGGGAAAGAUUGCCCGUGGUGUCAAAGGAAAACUAGAAGCAAUAAGCAAAGAUAACUUAGCCAACCGACAGAAGCCUGGAUGUGAGAAGGGAACAGGUGUUGACAGAUCAAGGAUGAACAUGACAAAUUCAUUGACGAAAAAGUUUAGGGAGAUAAUGAUCGAAUUUCAGACCCUUAGACAAAGAAUCCAAGAUGAAUAUCGUGAGGUUGUGGAGAGAAGAGUCAUUACAGUUACAGGAACUAGACCAGAUGAAGAGACAAUUGACAAUCUAAUAGAAACUGGAAAUAGUGAGCAAAUAUUCCAGAAGGCAGUCCAAGAACAGGGACGAGGACAGGUACUAAAUACUUUGGAAGAAAUUCAAGAGAGGCAUGACACCGUAAAAGAAAUUGAGAAAAAGCUUCUUGACUUGCAUCAGAUCUACCUCGAUAUGGCAGUCUUGGUUGAUGCUCAAGGAGAGGUUUUAGAUAACAUUGAAACUCAGGUGACAAAUGCAGUGGACCAUGUACAAUCAGGGACAGAUGCUCUACACACUGCAAAGAGCUUGCAAAAGAAGUCAAGAAAAUGCAUGAUCAUUUCCAUGGUCUUGCUCUUGAUCAUUGCUCUCAUUAUUGUCCUCUCUAUUCUCAAGCCAUGGAAGAAGUAAUAACCGCUCCAAGCAAGCUUAAGAAUCCUCCAGACAUAGUCUAAUACUUAUACAACUUCACUCACAAUAUUUACAAGAAAAGGAGCGAAACUUGUCCGAUGGGAGCUGCAUUUGCAGGCACGUAGGGUGAUGCCAUGCACUUGGAGUCACCAUGCUUAAUUGUCUUCUUCUUUUCCACUUUCAGAUGAUGUCACUAGGCUAUUUUUGCACAUAACUGAUUCUGUUUUUCAGUUUCGAGCUUUUGUUAUUAUUUUAGUUACUCAACUGCCUCAGUUGUGCCUCGCUAAGUUAGUCGCUAGGCCUCUUCAUGACUCUUCAGUAUGCUUUCUGGGUUUGAAGUGCUCAUGACCAAUUAAA
This is an RNA transcript of Rosa rugosa (rugosa rose), 1503 nucleotides long. It is a transcript of the gene named syntaxin-132-like, with no coding region annotated. The transcript has 14 exons. Lineage: Eukaryota; Viridiplantae; Streptophyta; Magnoliopsida; Rosales; Rosaceae. The record is from RefSeq and is a predicted model, not a curated record.